This 478-nucleotide long non-coding RNA is filed under the name Sus scrofa (pig). Its description in RNAcentral is "lncRNA (ENSSSCG00030032590.1)". Lineage: Eukaryota; Metazoa; Chordata; Mammalia; Artiodactyla; Suidae. The record is from RNAcentral.
GCGAUAAAAGGAAGGGUGCUGGAGCUGCCUGUUCUACAAAUGGGGUGAAAAAAAGGAUUUACCUGGACUUCCACCUGCACCUGUUUUGUGUUGCUGCCUUGAGCACCAUGCUGAGAAAUACGGGAUGGAUUCUUGAUGACUUCUACUGGUGCCAGAGUGGGCCUCAAUCUACUAGAGUAAAACCUCCAUGAAGAUAUGGAUUCUGCUGAUCCUGAUGACCUCUGUGUCCUCAGAUUCUACUUUAAUUCCAGGUGCAAAGUAAGUGUUCAAUCAAUAUUUGUUCAGUGAGGAAAAUAAAAUAUUAUAUCCAAAGUUAUGAUUGGAGACAGAAAGUAGAAUAGAGAGUCCCAGGGGCUGGGGAAAGGGGGUAGUGGAGAGUUAUUGUUUCAUGAAACAGGGUUUCAGUCUGAGUUGGUGAAGAGGUUCUGGAGAUGGAUAGUAGCAAUGGGUGCCCAAUGGUAUGAAUGUAGUUGAUGCC